UUUAAAAGUCCGCCCCGGGGCUGCGCACCGCUCAGGGAGAGGCGGACAGCGGGAGGCGGUCUCUGGGUUCAGGUUUCAUUUGGUGGCUUUAAGGAUGGGAGACUGGGGAAUGGACGCAUCACCAGAUGCCAAGUAUUUUGCCUGCCGGCACAUGUCA
Callorhinchus milii (elephant shark) is the source of this 157-nucleotide long non-coding RNA. RefSeq lists it as uncharacterized. The transcript is spliced from 3 exons. Lineage: Eukaryota; Metazoa; Chordata; Chondrichthyes; Chimaeriformes; Callorhinchidae. The record is from RefSeq and is a predicted model, not a curated record.